RNAcentral lists this unclassified non-coding RNA (516 nucleotides) under Hevea brasiliensis (rubber tree). Lineage: Eukaryota; Viridiplantae; Streptophyta; Magnoliopsida; Malpighiales; Euphorbiaceae. The record is from RNAcentral.
AUUUAUUUCACUGCCACCUUCCUAGCUUCAAAGAGAAAGCUGCUCUGAUUUAUAUAUAAGCACACUCUUCUUAUCUCGCCCUUUCUUGAAGAAAAAAAGAGGGCCUGAACUCUGAAUCCAUUUGGGUUUUUGUGAUUCUAGGGAGGUGUGUUAGUCAGUGUAGUUGUCAGCAGAUUUAACGCCACACUCUUAACUGAACUUGUUCCAUUAAAGAAGACGACCCAUCAUUUUCUUUCAAAUAUAUAUCCACUAUUCUUUCCAGAAAAUUCAUAUACAGUUCACAGAAUUUCUUAUUUCUUACGUUCGUUUUGCGUUUGGAAUCUUGAUUUCUGGAAAAAAAAAAAGAUGGGUGAGAACGAUGCCGCAAAGAUCCAUUUUCCUCCCCAAGCUUUCAGUGUUUCUGUGGACAUGCCUUCUCAAGGUGGCUCCAAGUGGUUUGAUGAUGAUGGUCGCUUCAAGCGCACUGGAACUGUUUGGACUGCGAGCGCUCACAUUAUAACAGCUGUGAUUGGGUCU